Molecule: long non-coding RNA, 966 nt
Organism: Pan paniscus (pygmy chimpanzee)
Lineage: Eukaryota; Metazoa; Chordata; Mammalia; Primates; Hominidae
Source: Ensembl
UAAAAAGGGUUGCAACUACACAGGGGGUGGUUACUCCGCUGGGCGGGGACCAUGAUCCAUUUGCGUUGAUUAGCUCACCAUCAUCACGGCACAACCUUAGGCAGGGGGUACCACUGGCCUGGUCUGGAGGGGAGGAAAUUGGCUUGGGAGCUCACAGAGGUUGCGCAGCACAGCACAGAAAGGGCAGGGCCAGGGUUGACCUGCAGAGUCUGACCGGGGAGUUUGAGGGCUCGAGCCCCCGUGCUGCUGCUUGCUGCUAGACAGCACCUUCCAUCCAUUUCUAGGGGAGUCUGAAGACGGAGAAGCAACCAUCAGCCUGAGUUCUGCCUGUGCCUCAUGGAUGAGUUGAUUUGAAUAUCUUUCCCCAAAGAAGAUCCAAGUGGAGAAAUCGGAUUAUAGUUUCCUUGUCUGCCGUAAACUAUGUGCAUGGUUUCGUUUCAGACAGUUAUAGGGGCCCACAAGGAGAGAGGAGCACCCCACGCAGGCGAAUCGCCUCUUGUUUUGUCUGCAGAGCCAAGAGAGGCUGAAGUUGGCUGCAGGACAGUCUUCAGCGUCCGAGGAUGGGGCGGCCGGUCAGGCAGACCUGCCCCGCAGGAUGUUCCCGGGAGCAAGCAGUGAGCCCGCCCGCGCCCACGCUCCCUGCCCGGGCGCCCAGCGUGGAGGCUCCCCCGGUCUCCCCACACGGCCGGGGCCUCGCGCCAGCCCCAGCGCAGCCCCUCACCAGCUCCCAGAAACCGGUGAGAAGCAGCCCAUAGCUUGUUACCUGUUUAUCCAAAGGACAGAUCAGUGCUCAAGAAAGGUGGCGACAUGGAGGCCCAGAGUGAGGAAGUCAUGUAUUCAAGGUGGCAGAGCUGGGAUUUGUAUAUCAUCUCUGUACCUGAGCCCCUAACCUGCAAGUCAUAAUAGGCAACCAAUCAAUGUAAGUUAUAAUUAAUAUUGUCGCAUGUAUCUAUUAUUAAGUUACAA